AAGGUAUUAGUAAAAUUAUUACAUAACUUUGUCAAAGUUAAUUUACAGGCCCUUAAUCCUGUAUAUCUUA
This 70-nucleotide transfer RNA is filed under the name Graphiurus kelleni (savanna dormouse). RNAcentral describes it as "tRNA-Asp". Lineage: Eukaryota; Metazoa; Chordata; Mammalia; Rodentia; Gliridae. The record is from RNAcentral.